GCCCUGAGCGGCGGUGGUACGGUCCGCGCCGGCCCCGGCUAUAAAUAGCGCGGGGCGCAUGGCUCUUCGGGAGGCGCAGGGAGUCCGGGCCCGGCGGCCGCGGGGAGCGGGUGCUUGCUAGGAGCCGGGCUGCCGGCCUCCUCGCUCUGCCUUUUGGGGGUUCUUUUUGUAAUAGCAGCAGACUAGAAAAAGCGAGCCGGCUUGGAGGGAGUCCGCCCAGCGAUCCGAGUGCGCAUUGAUCAGUGUCGAGAGAAAAAAAAGCUACAUAAAUAUAUAUUAUGUGGAUAAAUCUGCAGACAAGAGCUCUCUCGUGCGCGCGUCCGUUCCCCGUUUCUCUCCCUCUGCCUCUUCCCUCCCCGCGUCCCCAACCUGCCAGAGCGGCUGCAAACCUUCCUCCCGCCCGGCGGCCACCGCCACCCGGUCCAGGCGCGCGGGGGAGUGGAGAUCCGGGGUCCGAGCCCCGCUCCACCAGCCUCUGAAGGCGGGAGGUGGGUGUUUCCGUCCCGGACGGCCUCUCCCGCCCCGGGGAGCGGCGGCUGGCCCGGCCCGCGGCUGGCGGGAGGAAGAAAUGAGACCCCGGCUGCCUGAAGCCCCAGGCCGAGCCCGGAUGGUGCAGCCACAGCGCGGAGCUCUCCAGCGCCGAAGGAGGCCAGAGGCCGGGAGUUUCCUCGCCCCAAGCCCGAGCCCGCUCGGGACGCCUUUCCCUGAGGAUCGGGGCCCAAAGCAAGCAGCAAGUACUGAGAACUGUUGAACUUCACCUUUUCUGUUUAGAUUCUCGGGCCUUUGCUGGAUGGAGUCCUGUAUUUAAAUCUUGCAAUCACUGCUGGGAAGUGAGCUGUAUCAUCCUGAGAAAUCAGACCACAGAGCCUGUGCUGCAGCUGGCAGCCGGGUCAUCUUUAACCGCUUAACCCUUUGUAUCCAAGGACUGAUUGAAGCGGCAGACUCCUCCAGAAUCCACUGGGGCAGGUUUUCUCAUUGCAGAGCUGAGAGUUAAAAUGAAACUGAGUGUGUACAGCAAAAACCUUGCCUUGUAAAUUGACUUUUGUGCCUAUCCACACGACUGACUUUAUGUGUAUCUCCUUGUGGGGAAUGUGCUUGUGUUUGAGUGCACACCUGGCUGUGAUAUAUGUGAAUGUGAGUUUUUGUGUGAAAACAUGCAGUGAGUCUCUGUGCACAUGUGUGGAUGUGAGUGUGUGUGUGUGCAUCAUAUGCAUAAAGAAAGUUCUUCCCUGUGUCAUAAAAUAAGAUCCAGGCUAUCAAGGCUGGCAUAAUGGAUAAUCUGAAAAACAAAACAAAACAAAAUUGCAAAAUGAGGGAGCUUUAAAAUCUUAGUGAAAAUGAAAAGAGAAAUUUAUUUUGGUGCAAAAAAUUUUGAAAAACGUGCAUGUGAAGAGGUCUUCUAUAGUUUACAGAAAAUAUAUAUUAUGAAAAAACUAUGUACGGGACAGGUAUUUGGCCUAGUGGUUAAGAUGCUGACUGAAACUCUGGCACCCCAUAUUAGAGUGCCUGUGUCUGACUCCCAGCUCCAAUCCCAAUUCCAGUUUCUGACCAUUGUGUCCUCUGAGAGGCAUUAGGUGAUGGCUCAAGUGGUUGUGUUCCUACCACUCUCAAGGGAGACCUAGAUUAGGUUUCUGGAUCCUGGUUUUGGCUUGGCACAGCUCUGGUUGUUGUGGCUAUUUGGAGAGUGAACCAACAGAUGGGAGCUGUUUGUGUGUCUAUCUGUCUCUCUGACUUUCAAAUAAAUAAAAUAAAUAAAUUUGAAAAGAAAAAAAU
Molecule: long non-coding RNA, 1773 nt
Filed under: Oryctolagus cuniculus (rabbit)
Lineage: Eukaryota; Metazoa; Chordata; Mammalia; Lagomorpha; Leporidae
Description: lncRNA (ENSOCUG00000038435.1)
Source: RNAcentral